Long non-coding RNA from Oncorhynchus tshawytscha (Chinook salmon), 406 nucleotides. The record is from Ensembl. NCBI's taxonomy places the organism in Eukaryota, Metazoa, Chordata, Actinopteri, Salmoniformes, Salmonidae.
GGUAGAGGAGGAAAGAGGGGAAGGAGAGGUAGAGGAGGAAAGAGAGGAAGGAGAGGUAGAGGCGGAAGGAGAGGGAAGGAGAGGUAGAAGAAGAAGGAGAGGUAGAAGAGGAAGGAGAGGUAGAGAAGGAAGGAGAGGUAGAAGAGGAAGGAGAGGUAGAGAGGGAAGGAGAGGUAGAAGAGGAAGGAGAGGUAGAGGAGGAAGGAGAGGUAGAGGAGGAAGGAGUGGGAAAGAGAGGUAGAGGAGGAAGGAGAGGUAGAGGAGGAAGGAGAGGGAAGGAGAGUGAGAGGCAUGUGGACUUUGAUAUCUCUACGUGUGUAGAGGUUGAAGAGUCAGUCAAACCCUGGCCUGUCCUGUUCUGUCCUGUCCUCCUGUCCUGUCCUUAUACCUCACACCCAGUCAAACC